RNAcentral lists this ribosomal RNA (570 nucleotides) under Triticum aestivum (bread wheat). Its description in RNAcentral is "partial small subunit ribosomal RNA". Lineage: Eukaryota; Viridiplantae; Streptophyta; Magnoliopsida; Poales; Poaceae. The record is from RNAcentral.
AUGGUUACCGCAAGCGCUCUGGCCACCAUGGCAAUCUUCCUGCUGGUGGCCCUCUCCACCUCCCAUAUCGUGUCCUCACUCCGCUCGGGUGUCGGUGUCUGCCGUGCAAAUGGCUAUCUUCCAGGAAAGUCGGGCAACUGUGAGAAGAGCAAAAACCCGGACUGUUGUGAGGAUGGCAAGAGAUACCCGCAGUACCACUGCUCACCCCCGGUCACCGUGGCCACCAAGGCCAUCCUGAUGCUGAACAGCUUCGAGAAGGGCAAAGAUGGUGGCGGCCCAUCGGAGUGUGACAAUGCCUACCAGAGCGAUGAGGAGAUGGUCGUCAUGCUAUCCACCGGCUGGUUCAAGAGCAUGGCCCGUCGCGGGCACCGUAUCAAGAUCACCGCCAAUGGCAACUCCGUGUACUCCAAGGUGGUGGACGAAUGCGGCUCCGUGUAUGGCUGUAACGACUAUCACAAUUACGAGCCACCAUGUGCCAACAACAUAGUCAACGCCUCUCUAGGAGUGUGGAACGUGUUGGGGCUCGACCAGAACGUCAGCAUGGAGGGCAUCACCUGGUCUGACGAGUGA